CACAUGCAAGUCGAGGGGUAAGUUCUUCGGAACUAGAGACCGGCGCACGGGUGCUUAACGCGUAUGCAUCUACCUUUUACAGAGGGAUAGCCCAGAGAAAUUUGGAUUAAUACCUCAUAGUAUAUAGCCCUGGCAUCAGGAUUAUAUUAAAGUCACAACGGUAAAAGAUGAGCAUGCGUCCCAUUAGCUAGUUGGUAAGGUAACGGCUUACCAAGGCUACGAUGGGUAGGGGUCCUGAGAGGGAGAUCCCCCACACUGGUACUGAGACACGGACCAGACUCCUACGGGAGGCAGCAGUGAGGAAUAUUGGACAAUGGGCGCAAGCCUGAUCCAGCCAUGCCGCGUGCAGGAUGACGGUCCUAUGGAUUGUAAACUGCUUCUAUACGAGAAGAAACACUCCUUCGUGAAGGAGCUUGAACGGUAUCGUAAGAAUAAGGAUCGGCUAACUCCGUGCCAGCAGCCGCGGAAAUACGGAGGAUCCAAGCGUUAUCCGGAAUCAUUGAGUUUAAAGGGUCCGUAGGCGGUUAAAUAAGUCAGUGGUGAAAGCCCAUC
This 552-nucleotide ribosomal RNA is filed under the name uncultured Bacteroidota bacterium. RNAcentral's name for it is "bacterial SSU rRNA". It matches the Rfam family "Bacterial small subunit ribosomal RNA", at positions 52 to 606 of the family's 1533-position model. The record is from RNAcentral. Lineage: Bacteria; Pseudomonadati; Bacteroidota.